GGAGGGGUGUCCGAGUGGCCUAAGGAGGCGGUCUUGAAAACCGCUGUCUUCGCAAGGGGACCGUGGGUUCGAAUCCCACCCCCUCCGCCA
RNAcentral lists this transfer RNA (90 nucleotides) under subsurface metagenome. RNAcentral's name for it is "tRNA-Ser". It matches the Rfam family "tRNA". From Rfam's summary of the family: Transfer RNA (tRNA) molecules are approximately 80 nucleotides in length. The record is from RNAcentral.